CACACACACACACACACAUGCACACACACUCACUCAUAUGAAUACAUGGAACCUCAACUCUCCCAGCUUUCCUGUCCGGUUCGCCUCGCCCCAAAAUGGGGACACAAGGCAUUCAUUCUUCUGAAUAAAGAGGUCCUGUGUUCAUUAAAAAAAAAGUUGUCCUCCACCGAGACUCAGGUCUGAGAUCACACAGCUGCAGCAGAAAUGACCCUGACUGGCUGAGUGACCAUGCAAAACAUCCAAAACAAUAUGUUAAUACAGUGGAACCUUCAAGAUGUCGGGCGGAAGAACACUGGCAUCACCUAGUGUCGAAAGCUGCAUCCUGCAGAGAACCAUGAGCAGACAAAGC
This is a long non-coding RNA of Hippocampus comes (tiger tail seahorse), 349 nucleotides long. RefSeq lists it as uncharacterized. NCBI's taxonomy places the organism in Eukaryota, Metazoa, Chordata, Actinopteri, Syngnathiformes, Syngnathidae. The transcript has 3 exons. The record is from RefSeq and is a predicted model, not a curated record.